CUUCUUUGCUGGCGACCGGCGCACGGGUGAGUAACACGUAUCCAACCUGCCCUUUACUCGGGGAUAGCCUUUCGAAAGAAGGAUUAAUACCCGAUAGCAUAAUGAUUCCGCAUGGUUUCAUUAUUAAAGGAUUCCGGUAAAGGAUGGGGAUGCGUUCCAUUAGGUUGUUGGUGAGGUAACGGCCCACCAAGCCUUCGAUGGAUAGGGGUUCUGAGAGGAAGGUCCCCCACAUUGGAACUGAGACACGGUCCAA
RNAcentral lists this ribosomal RNA (253 nucleotides) under uncultured bacterium. Its description in RNAcentral is "partial 16S ribosomal RNA". It matches the Rfam family "Bacterial small subunit ribosomal RNA", at positions 80 to 334 of the family's 1533-position model. The record is from RNAcentral.